UGUGUGUGUGUGUGUGUGUGUGUGUGUGUGUGUGUGUGUGUGUGUAGAGGGGGAUCAAGCUGGGCCGGAUCACAGGAACACAGGAGGGAACCAGAACACCAAACACAGAUCGUUGGUUUGUAGAAAUGUCAGCACUUAUUCAGGCGGAUGUGUUGAGGCUUUCACAGAGAGAGAGAGAGAAAAACAUUUUUGUCAUUUACACGAACUGUCCCUUUAAAAUCAUCUUCAGUACAGACAAGCAGGAAGUUUGUUUUUGCUCAGCGGGUUCGGAUCAUUAAGGAACCUCGACGCCUGUGGUGUCGACAGGAGGUGGAUCAGCAGGUUCAUGUGAACGUCUCCACUCUGCAUCGACUCAUCAGCUCCUCAAGCUAUUUGAGAGGCAGCAGGUUGUGUGUGACCUUGUCGACCUGCGCUGGAUUAAGCAGCUAAUAUAUCUGUGGAAUGAUUCUGCAGGUCUAAUCAUAGCAGAGAUCAGAGAGCUGGAAUCAUGACAGCAUUUCUCUCUCUAACCCAUCUGAGCGGCGACAGGAAUGUAAGGAAGUGUCGGCCAUGUUGUGGCUCUGAUGUGGCGGUAUGUAGCGCCCGGGGUCACAUUUUGUUCUUCUGCUCCUCCGUCAUCAAUCUGCACGAGAAUAAAACGUCUCUGCCAGUGAGGAUUUUUUUAAAAAUGUGUGCUCACCACCAGCGAAGUGAGUCUGACUGCAGGAUGUUUCAUCCAGGCCGACAGACACGUUGGAGUAAAGUCCAGCUCCAGUCAGCAGUCAGAACAGAGGCGGUCACCUCCACGGAUCACCGCUGCAGUCAGGCUGAUCAACAGGAGUGAAGAUGAAUCCACUCUUUAAUUUAAUCCCAGAGGAUCAAAACUCAUCUCUGAGCUCUCGGAUCAGAACAGAACCUCAUGUGACUGACUGAAGACAAAUGGAGGAUUUUGUUAUGUGCAGCUCCUCUUGUGUUAAAACAAUCUGCAACACUAAACUGAGCAUCUGAUUCACUUCACAAAGAUCAAAACGCAGCAUGUGAGACUGGAUGAAAUGAAAUUCCUCGUCUGAUCUCGAGAGCAGCAGCAGCACAGACGCUCUGCCUGCUAUCAACACUGCAGCCCUCCUGACUGCUGCACACACACCUGCUGUGUGUCUGCUGGAUCCUCAGGGAGUCCUGCGGUUUCCCACAUCCUGCGACAGCUGAGCUCCCAGGUGCCCCGAGCUCGGUCCAGGAGAGCAGGAAGUGUGGAGAGUCAACAGGGAAAUGAGCCAUUAAACGGGAGGAAGAGCCGAGAGAGAGCCGACACAGAGGACGGAAGAGUUCAGGUUUAAUGUAGUAAUGUUUAAUUGAUUCACAACGAGGGACGUGUCAGAGGUCGAGGUCAGGUCCAGAACAGCAAUCCAGGAAAAAGGAAGCGGUUCCUCAGCUCGUCAGCAGGGUGGGAGCGUGCUGUCCCUGGAGAGUCUUGACAUGAUGAGUUUAAAGUCGACACUGACAGCAAAUAUGAAGAAAUAAAACUUCUACUUAAACUAAAGUUACCUGCCGACCUGUGACCUGAUGAUAAACUCCUCUUUUGACCAGUUAGGAGCGUCUAUGCCCGUCCUGUGGCCUGAAACAGCAAACGGCCAACAACUCGCUCUGUGUUCUUGCUCUCUGCUGAGCCCCUCGCGUAUCAGACACCGGAUGAUUGACACAUCAUGUAGCCAAUGAGAUUUCAAUGUGUAGUUUGUGUGAGUUUUUUAAAGGCCUGAACAUGGAAAUUAUACAACUUUGAUGCAGAAU
This is a long non-coding RNA of Acanthopagrus latus (yellowfin seabream), 1764 nucleotides long. RefSeq lists it as uncharacterized. The record is from RefSeq and is a predicted model, not a curated record. NCBI's taxonomy places the organism in Eukaryota, Metazoa, Chordata, Actinopteri, Spariformes, Sparidae. The transcript is spliced from 4 exons.